This 69-nucleotide microRNA precursor is filed under the name Phlebotomus papatasi. Its description in RNAcentral is "microRNA mir-927". The record is from RNAcentral. Lineage: Eukaryota; Metazoa; Arthropoda; Insecta; Diptera; Psychodidae.
AGCUUUCGGCUUAGAUUCCAAGCCUUCCUCAGUUGUCAAAAGGAAGGCUUGGAUUCUGAGCCGAAAGCU